RNAcentral lists this ribosomal RNA (874 nucleotides) under Stachybotrys echinatus. RNAcentral's name for it is "eukaryotic LSU rRNA". It matches the Rfam family "Eukaryotic large subunit ribosomal RNA", at positions 29 to 942 of the family's 3401-position model. Lineage: Eukaryota; Fungi; Ascomycota; Sordariomycetes; Hypocreales; Stachybotryaceae. The record is from RNAcentral.
GGAACUUAAGCAUAUCAAUAAGCGGAGGAAAAGAAACCAACAGGGAUUGCCUCAGUAACGGCGAGUGAAGCGGCAACAGCUCAAAUUUGAAAUCUGGCCCCAGGCCCGAGUUGUAAUUUGCAGAGGAUGCUUUUGGCGCGGUGCCUUCCGAGUUCCCUGGAACGGGACGCCAUAGAGGGUGAGAGCCCCGUCUGGUUGGACACCAAGCCUCUGUAAAGCUCCUUCGACGAGUCGAGUAGUUUGGGAAUGCUGCUCAAAAUGGGAGGUAUAUGUCUUCUAAAGCUAAAUACCGGCCAGAGACCGAUAGCGCACAAGUAGAGUGAUCGAAAGAUGAAAAGCACUUUGAAAAGAGAGUUAAAUAGCACGUGAAAUUGUUAAAAGGGAAGCGUUUAUGACCAGACUUGGGCCGGUUAAUCAUCCAGCGUUCUCGCUGGUGCACUUUGCCGGUCCAGGCCAGCAUCAGUUCGUCGCGGGGGAUAAAGGCGUCGGGAAUGUGGCUCCUCGGAGUGUUAUAGCCCUUCGCGCAAUACCCUGCGGUGGACUGAGGUUCGCGCUCUGCAAGGAUGCUGGCGUAAUGGUCAUCAACGACCCGUCUUGAAACACGGACCAAGGAGUCGUCUUCGUAUGCGAGUGUUCGGGUGUAAAACCCCUACGCGUAAUGAAAGUGAACGCAGGUGAGAGCUUCGGCGCAUCAUCGACCGAUCCUGAUGUUCUCGGAUGGAUUUGAGUAAGAGCAUACGGGGCCGGACCCGAAAGAAGGUGAACUAUGCCUGUAUAGGGUGAAGCCAGAGGAAACUCUGGUGGAGGCUCGCAGCGGUUCUGACGUGCAAAUCGAUCGUCAAAUAUGGGCAUGGGGCGAAAGACUAAUCGACCU